GACGAACGCUGGCGGCGUGCUUAACACAUGCAAGUCGAACGGGAGUAUUGAAGAAGCUUGCUUUAGAGAUACUUUAGUGGCGGACGGGUGAGUAACGCGUGAGGAGCUGUCCGAUGCAGGGGGACAACAGUUGGAAACGACUGCUAAUACACCAUAAGCCGAGAGGUAAAAGGAUUUAUCAGGCAAUGGAGGUACUCGCGUCCUAUCAGCUAGUAGGUGAGGUAACGGCUCACCUAGGCGAAGACGGGUAGCCGGCCUGAGAGGGCGAACGGCCACACUGGAACUGAGAUACGGUCCAGACGCCUACGGGAGGCAGCAGUGGGGAAUAUUGGGCAAUGGGGGGAACCCUGACCCAGCGACGCCGCGUGGGUGAAGAAAUCCUUCGGGAUGUAAAGCCCUGUUGUAUGGGAAGAGCGGAAGACGGUACCAUACGAGGAAGCCCCGGCAAACUACGUGCCAGCCGCCGCGGUAA
RNAcentral lists this ribosomal RNA (472 nucleotides) under uncultured bacterium. RNAcentral's name for it is "partial 16S ribosomal RNA". It matches the Rfam family "Bacterial small subunit ribosomal RNA", at positions 28 to 523 of the family's 1533-position model. The record is from RNAcentral.